AAUCAUUCAAGGGAUUAACAAGAUGAUGAUAUAUAUUUUUAAAGAGUUGAAAAUUUGAGACAUGUGUCAUUGAUGGUUAAUUCCUAAAUUACUCCUGAUCAUAGGAUUAUCAUAGAGAUGGUGAUUGAUCCAGAUAAAUCAGUGCAUAGAUCGCUUUUUUCAGACAGAUAAGUCUCGAGUCUGCAGUGUAGUGAUACUGAAGUGAGUGUAUGUGGUUGUUAGAGAACAACUAGCACUGAGCGUGACCAAUACGAAAAGUCACAUGGAUGUUUGCUCACUCGUUAGUGACUUUCUCGAUGCUGC
This 303-nucleotide long non-coding RNA is filed under the name Elaeis guineensis (African oil palm). RNAcentral's name for it is "long non-coding RNA (EGUI_LNC037537)". The record is from RNAcentral. Lineage: Eukaryota; Viridiplantae; Streptophyta; Magnoliopsida; Arecales; Arecaceae.